RNAcentral lists this ribosomal RNA (439 nucleotides) under uncultured bacterium. RNAcentral describes it as "partial 16S ribosomal RNA". It matches the Rfam family "Bacterial small subunit ribosomal RNA", at positions 338 to 795 of the family's 1533-position model. The record is from RNAcentral.
CCUACGGGAGACUGCAGUGGGGGAUAUUGCACAAUGGGGGGAACCCUGAUGCAGCGACGCCGCGUGGGUGAAGAAGCGCCUCGGCGCGUAAAGCCCUGUCAGCAGGGAAGAAAAUGACGGUACCUGAAGGAGAAGCCCCGGCUAACUACGUGCCAGCAGCCGCGGUAAUACGUAGGGGGCAAGCGUUAUCCGGAUUUACUGGGUGAAAAGGGGGCGCAGACGGCGAUGCAAGCCAGGAGUGAAAGCCCGGGGCCCAACCCCGGGACUGCUCGUGGAACUGCGUGGCUGGAGGGCAGGAGGGACAGGCGGAAUUCCUGGUGUAGCGGUGAAAUGCGUAGAUAUCAGGAGGAACACCGGUGGGGAAGGCGGCGUGCUGGACUGCAACGGACGUUGAGGCCCGAAAGCGUGGGGAGCAAACAGGAUUAGAUACCCAGUAGUC